This is a long non-coding RNA of Talpa occidentalis (Iberian mole), 1014 nucleotides long. RefSeq lists it as uncharacterized. The record is from RefSeq and is a predicted model, not a curated record. NCBI's taxonomy places the organism in Eukaryota, Metazoa, Chordata, Mammalia, Eulipotyphla, Talpidae. The transcript has 4 exons.
CUGUAUGGGGAGGGGACUUUCGGCGGUAACUAGGGGGAGAUGAGGUCGUGAAUGUGGCGUCCUCUUGAAUGGAGUCAUGUUCUUGUGAGAGUCCCCACUGUGCUCUCUAUGCUGUGAGGACACAAGAAGCCAACCAGGAGAGGACUUUCAUCAGAGCGCCGCCAUGUUGGCUCCUGAGCUCAGAAGUCCAGCCUCCAAACUCAUACAACUAUGGCCUUAUGGAGAGUUCCCUCUGAUCAGGUGACAGAAGGGAAGACUAGCUUCUGUGCGAUAUUGUGUGGUCUAUAACAUGGUUUCUUUCUUCAAAUAAAUUGAUGGACAUUUAAUUCAGUCAGAAGGAACGUUAAAUGAUGCCACCUACAUUUCUGUGACAUGGAGAAGCAAUGACUAACAACUAGAGUCCAUUAAAAGUCACCUGUUAAAAUUAGUGGAAUAUUCAACUUAGAUGUUGUGUUAUGUAUCUCUUGGAAACACCAAUAACAGCCUUUUACAAAGAUGGCAUGGAAAGUAAAGAAGGAAGUCCUUGCCCCUCCUAAGCCAAAGCCAAAGUAGGAGCUUUGAAAUCCAAGAAAGCAGUUUUGAAAGCUGUCAAUAGCCAAAAGAAAAAAAUCUGCAGGUCACCCACCUUCCGGAGUCCCAAGGCACUAUGACUCUGAAUGCACCCCAAAUAUUCACAGAAGAGCACCCCAAGAAGAAACAAGAUUAAUCAAUGUCCUAUCAUCAAUCUUUCCUUGACCACAGAGUCUGCCACAAAGAAGAUAGGUGACAACUCACUUGUGUACAUGGUGGGUGUCAACCAGAUACAACAGGUGGGAAGAAACUUGAUGACAUUGACAUGACCAAGGUCAACACCCUGAUUAGACCUGAUAGAGCAAAGAAGGUGUACAUUCAACUGGCUCCUAACUGUGAUGCUUUAGAUGUUUCCAACAAAAAUUGGGAACAUCUAAAGUGAGUCUAGCUGGCUAGCUCUAAAUAUAGUUCUUUUCAACAUAAAAAAAUACAAAUGGUCUUGGG